This 102-nucleotide non-coding RNA is filed under the name Bacillus sp. (in: firmicutes). Its description in RNAcentral is "Bacillus sp. Guanine sequence". It matches the Rfam family "Purine riboswitch aptamer". Rfam says of the family: Riboswitches are metabolite binding domains within certain messenger RNAs that serve as precision sensors for their corresponding targets. The record is from RNAcentral. RNAcentral also lists the same sequence under 1 other name. Lineage: Bacteria; Bacillati; Bacillota; Bacilli; Caryophanales; Bacillaceae.
AAAAUAGUUUAGCAUCUCCCUCGUAUAAUAAUGGGAAUACGGCCCAUGAGUUUCUACCCAAUUACCGUAAAUUAUUGGACUAUGAGGGAAAGUGGUAACCGU